ACUAGUUGUAGACUCGGCCACGGCCAUGGGUCUCGCAGCGAUUAGCCGAAAUGUAUCGCCGCCCGUUGAAAACUGCACACAUUUUUCUUAAGCAUUUUUUAAAAGUGGAAUAUUGACGAUUUUUCAUUAUUUACUCAAUUAAUUUCUUCUAAAAUCAAAUAUAUCA
Molecule: non-coding RNA, 166 nt
Organism: Caenorhabditis elegans
Lineage: Eukaryota; Metazoa; Nematoda; Chromadorea; Rhabditida; Rhabditidae
Source: Ensembl